UAAUUUCUUGUGUGAACUUGAAAGGACUUAUAAUAGGUGUAGGCAUUGUCCAACUGAACAUGGCAAAGAUGCGAACUUCGAAUAAGAAUAUAAAAAAAAGUAGAAGAUAGCAAUUGGAACCUAACUCGUUCGGUUCUGAAAAAAAUAAACUGUGUAAUCGGAAAUUUGUGUAAUUUGAGAUAUGUAAACUAUGUAAUAUAAAAAUUGUUUUAGUAUUGCGGAGCAGUCCAAAUGGCAGCAGCACCCGCGUCCUCACCAGCUUAGACAGGGCUCCCAUGUCCCCGCCUACUGCAGAUGCACUUGAUACCCGUGUCGGUGCGUAGCGGAACCGAGACUACCACGUCCUCGACAGUGGCGGGAAACUCACGCUUCUUCCCAUACAUAAUCCUGUUGUAUGAACCAACCAUCAAGAAACAUAAUAUCAAGUGAAUAAUUAGUUAACUUUUAUCCAAAUCUAUUCACGGUACAAGUCUUUACCUUAGCCUUUUCAGGAUCUCUAUAUGAUUGGGUUUGGUGCUUCACCUACUAUUCUCAUUGCCAAUCCUCCUCCUUAUGGUUAGUGGUCUCCUAAUUUCCAUGCCUUGCUCUAAACCCCUCAGUUUGCAAUUCUAUCUUGUUUGAGGCCAAACUUCUGUAUGUUCACAUGAGUAGUUAACAGGUAUCAUUAAACUAAGAAAGCAAUCACAAAAUCAUAGAAAGGAUAUAUUUCGGGAUACAUAUCAAGCUAGUCCUUUGUAACGACCAUAGCAAUUACUAUAUUUAGUCAGCAACUGAGGUAUAAGAGGACGAUAUAGGGGGAAAUAUCGCGAACUGCAAACACUAAAUACUCGAGUUUGUAUGAUAACAAUAGUGAUUCAUCCAUGUGUAAUGAAACUUCAAAGGUGUUAUCUAGAGAGAAAAUUAUUAGGUGUAGACCUCAAAUACAGAUACUGAAUAGUCAAGUUACCUGGCAUCAUAGUAAUCAAAUUCACAUAAUGAAAAUCAUGGAAGAAAGUUAAAGAGAAGUGCUUCCAUUAAGCACUGUAAUAUGAUAUAGUUGUGCAUGCCUGCUGUAUUUGGCUGCUGAACUACAGCUCCUCCUCCAUCCAUUUUAGAGUCCUCAUUCCUAAAAAUAAAAGAACAUGGUUAUUCUUUACGCAUGAAAAUCUGAUUGUUGUCGAAGGGGGAUUGGAAAUCACAGAUUAAUUCAGGAGCUAUUACUAAUAUAAAAUAAUAAGAAAAGAGAGAAUAUUGCAACUAUUAACAAAAGUAUUGUUAGGCCACAAAUUAAAUCUACUUAAAUUUUUAACACAUAUGGACACACACCCCAACUGCAAAAGAAAAACAAUAGUUGCUGCAGCUGAUUUUCGCACGGCAUCUAUGCAUAGAACAGAAGAAAAUUUUAGUUAGCGCACUUACUACUCAUUUCUCCUCAAACCGAAUAAAAGUCCAUUGAUGAUGGGCAUAUCUUUCCCUGAUUGAGAGGUUCAAAUUGUUGUAAAAAAAGAGAAAAUAGACUCACCUGAUUGAGCAUGAACGACUAAGAAAACAGCUGGAAAUACUCUAGGAAUAAGGGCACAAGCAUGGCGUUGUACAUGCAUGAUUUGUCCAGUUAUGGCAGGUGUUGUAACUUAUUCUGAAUUUAUGAAACUCAAAGACCAAGCUAAAAAAAUUCUUCCGAUCUAGAAAGCCCGACCUGUCUGAAAAUAAUUGAAAGAAAAAAAACAUAUGUAUCAGUACAGAGGGAGUUCUGUUUACAACUACACAUGGAAAACCUUUUGUUUUUUCUGAAUUCACCAAUCAGUGCUCGUCAUACUUAUUUGCACUCUUGAAGCUAAUCUCUUAAAGCCAAAAGUUGAGCACACUUUGUUGAUCAGGCACUACUGAAUGAUAUCGAACCUGAAACACCGCCACAAAGUCUCCCUUAGUAUCAUAGCCACACCACCUUUGAUGAAACAAAAAAAAUCACAGGAAUCAUGGAUCAGAACAACAAACAACAUUGAUCCUGCACCAAAUCGAACUCAUCGAAUGGUGUAAUCAGUGGCACCUGUACAUGUACAAACCAAUUAAAUUCGACUAAUAUAUGAUUUAUGCAAAAUUAUCAUAGAGAUCAAUAGAAAUAACUCACUUGAAGGACGAUACCUCAUUUGGGGAAAACAUCCUAACGGAGAUCAGUUUUAUCUGCGCUGUAAAACCUUGCCAGUCUAACACCAUGUUAUCAGUACUAUAAUGUGCAUGAUUUUUUUACUUAUUUCAUAUUUGAUACAUCAUCAACCAACCUUUCUCUACUUCCAUCAACUACUACAGAAUACUGCAAGAUGAAGGUUCCAUUUCAGUAUAGAAUAGAAAAUGAUUAUAAGAGAAGUAAGCUUCUCUUCAGAACAGAUCUAGGAAUUAAAAUAGUUAGAGAAGCCCUUUGCAAUGCACAUAUAGUCCCAAACCAAUCACUUAUUCUCCGUCCUCAAUUUGAAGAGCUAGUGCUCAAAUGAACUUAGUAAGUACCAUUCAAAUAUUUAUCAAGUUUCCACAACCUAUGUCUACAACUUCCCAUUUCAGGCUAAAUGUAGAAGAGUAGUGCUAACAUCUUGAGUAGUUGAGAAAAAAAUACGAGCAUGGCCUUCAGCACAUUGGCACCUAGGCAUAUUGAUAUGCCUGGCAGAAAGAAAUCAAGGACAAAAGAACCAGAUGAGAAGCCAGGGAGCAGCAGAUGUAUGUCUGACUCUAAUUAUCAAGACAAAGAUUAAUGCUAAUCUAACCUCAGGCAUGCUGCUGCUUGUGGAAGUUGUGUCCAAUUCACUGAUAUGUCUCUUUAAAAGUUUCAUAUGACCUUGUUAAGAGAGAAUAACUAUAUAACUUGAAUAAAUUGGCAGUUGUCUUCAGAAUAAAAAAAAAUGGUAACAGAAACCUUUAAACCAAGUUGUAGCUCAUAAUCAUCCAGCUCAUCAGACCAUCUAGUUGACGCUUUAAUCUGUUUUAAAACUUCC
This 2963-nucleotide long non-coding RNA is filed under the name Triticum aestivum (bread wheat). RNAcentral describes it as "long non-coding RNA (TAES_LNC005938)". Lineage: Eukaryota; Viridiplantae; Streptophyta; Magnoliopsida; Poales; Poaceae. The record is from RNAcentral.